Molecule: transfer RNA, 73 nt
Filed under: Streptococcus suis
Lineage: Bacteria; Bacillati; Bacillota; Bacilli; Lactobacillales; Streptococcaceae
Also listed under: 1 other name
Description: tRNA-Thr(tgt)
Rfam family: tRNA
About the family: Transfer RNA (tRNA) molecules are approximately 80 nucleotides in length. Their secondary structure includes four short double-helical elements and three loops (D, anti-codon, and T loops).
Source: RNAcentral
GCCGGCUUAGCUCAGUUGGUAGAGCAUCUGAUUUGUAAUCAGAGGGUCGCGUGUUCAAUUCAUGUAGCCGGCA